Molecule: ribosomal RNA, 169 nt
Filed under: uncultured bacterium
Lineage: Bacteria
Description: partial 16S ribosomal RNA
Rfam family: Bacterial small subunit ribosomal RNA
Source: RNAcentral
CCUACGGGAGGCAGCAGUGGGGAAUAUUGGGCAAUGGCCGAAAGGCUGACCCAGCAACGCCGCGUGGUGGGAGAAGCCCUUCGGGGUGUAAACACCUUUUCUGGGGGAAGAUAAUGACGGUACCCCAGGAAUAAGGGACGGCUAACUACGUGCCAGCAGCCGCGGUAAU